GACGAACGCUGGCGGCGUGCCUAAUACAUGCAAGUCGAACGAAAGCGACCGGUGCUUGCACUGGUCAAUCUAGUGGCGAACGGGUGAGUAACACGUGGGUAACCUGCCCAUCAGAGGGGGAUAACAUUCGGAAACGGAUGCUAAAACCGCAUAGGUUUUCGAACCGCAUGGUUUGAAGAGGAAAAGAGGUGCAGGCGUCUGCUGUAGGAUGGACCCGCGGUGCAUUUGCUAGUUGGUGAGGUAACGGCUCACCAAGGCCGUGAUGCAUAGCCGACCUGAGAGGGUGAUCGGCCACAUUGGGACUGAGACACGGCCCAAACUCCUACGGGAGGCAGCAGUAGGGAAUCUUCCGCAAUGGACGCAAGUCUGACGGAGCAACGCCGCGUGAGUGAAGAAGGUUUUCGGAUCGUAAAACUCUGUUGUUAGAGAAGAAUAAGUGCUAGAGUAACUGUUAGCGCCUUGACGGUAUCUAACCAGAAAGCCACGGCUAACUACGUG
RNAcentral lists this ribosomal RNA (498 nucleotides) under uncultured bacterium. RNAcentral describes it as "partial 16S ribosomal RNA". It matches the Rfam family "Bacterial small subunit ribosomal RNA", at positions 28 to 507 of the family's 1533-position model. The record is from RNAcentral.